Molecule: ribosomal RNA, 1934 nt
Filed under: Physarum utriculare
Lineage: Eukaryota; Evosea; Eumycetozoa; Physariida; Physaraceae
Description: SSU rRNA
Rfam family: Eukaryotic small subunit ribosomal RNA
Source: RNAcentral
CUGCCAGUAGUGUUAUGCUUCUCCUAAAGACUAAGCCAUGCAUGUCUCCGAAUAGAAUAGAAGAGCAAGUCUCUCUGAAUCUGCGAACGGCUCCGCAUACCAGUUGUAAACCAUAGCAAGCAAACCGGGCGGUCGUUUCACGACGCAUCGCUCGGUUCAUAAGGAUACCCAUGGUAAUUCUGAGGCUAAUACAAGAACGUACAACCCGCUCGACCCGUUAGGGGAGGGGGGGGAAUGUGUGACUAAGGCACGCAAAUAUCGUACUGGGAGUGGCCACACGUUCAGACCACCAUACCAAACGGUCGUUCGCUUCCGAAAGCCUCCGGGCGAGUGGUGGCGGGCUUCAGGGUGGCUCUUGCUGUGUGCUUCUGACCUAUCAACUAGAUGGCAGCGUAACGGACAUGCUAUGGUGACAACGGGUACAGAGGAUAAGGGUUCGAUCCUGGAGAGUGGGCCUGAGAGAUUGCUCACACUUCUAAGGAAGGCAGCAGGCGCGCAACGUUCCCAUUGGGCAAAGCUCGAGGGCGUUAGGGGACAUAUGAAUGCCUGCCUUAUGGUGGGCAAUUCAAAUGGGACUGUUUUAAACAUCCUAUCGAGUAACAAUUAGAGGACAAGUCUGGUGCCAGCACCCGCGGUAAUUCCAGCUCUAAUAGCAUACGUUAAAGUUGUUGCGGUUAAAACGCUCGUAGUCGGCCACAGACCUUCAAAAGCUUGAUUCGGGAAACCGGGCCUGCUGCUCUUCUCCAAGGGCGCGCCGGCUACUGCUGAUAGUGGACGUCGGUCAAGUGUGCUCCAGGCUGUCUCCUCCUCCGGGAGUUGUCACAGGGCGGGUCGUUCGGGUCGGGCUCACGCUCGGUUCGGGCUUCACGUUCGGCUUGGGGUGCCUAUCACCAUGAUUAAACCGUAGUGACCAAAGCACGUCGUUAGACGGGCACGGCACAGCAUGGCACGAAUCGCACCGGGCUCGCCUUUUUUUUGCGGGGGCUGAGACUCGGUAAAAGCGAAAGGGAUGUUCGAGGGUGACCGAAUUGCCGGGCGAGUGGUGAAAUACGUUGACCCUGGCAAGUCGACCAAAGGCGAAAGCAGUCAUCAAGGGCAUACCCGUUGAUCAAGAGCGAAAGUUAAGGGUUCGAAGACGAUCAGAUACCGUCGUAGUCUUAACUAUAAAUGAUGCAAACCAGGGAUAGGACAGUGUCCAUCUCGACUCCUCCCGAACCUUGGAGAAAUUACAGUCUAUGGGUUCUGGGGGGAGUAUGGUCGCAAGGCUGAAACUUAAAGGAAUUGACGGAAGGGCACACAAAGAGUGGAACCUGCGGCUUAAUUUGACUCAACACGGGAAAACUCACCAGGUCCGGAUACACGUAUGAAAGUCAAGCUGAAAGACUUUACUCAAUGAUGUAAGUGGUGGUGCAUGGUCGUUCUUAGUUCGUGGAUUGAUUUGUCUGGUCUAUUCCGAUAACGAGCGAGACCCCGGCGUUCCUAAUAGGGGCGGCAGCCAAGCCGGUCGCAAGAUCGGCUAGCUCGCCGCCUGAAGUUAUACUUCUUAGACGUAUCAGAGCCGACAAGGUUCUUGAAAUGGGUUAAUAACAGGUCAGUCAUGCCCUUAGAUGUUCUGGGCCGCACGCGCGUUACAAUGGCACGUAUACCGAGUGCUUGAAUAAGGCGUCCCCGGGGCCGAAAGGUCUCGGUAACCCUUAGUCCUUGCUUUGACUGGGACAGAUCUUUGCAAUUAUUGGUCUCAAACGAGGAAUUUUUAGUAAUCGUAGGUCAUUAACCUGCGUUGAAUGCGUCCCUGCCCUUUGUACACACCGCCCGUCGCUGCUACCGAUUGGGUUUUACAGUUACGCGUUCGGAGGAUGGUGCUUUCGGGCCUUCACGGGUCCGGGGCAUCGUCCGAAGUUCUAAUUACUGUACGGCCUAGAGGAAGCAGAAGU